RNAcentral lists this ribosomal RNA (497 nucleotides) under uncultured bacterium. RNAcentral's name for it is "partial 16S ribosomal RNA". It matches the Rfam family "Bacterial small subunit ribosomal RNA", at positions 28 to 507 of the family's 1533-position model. The record is from RNAcentral.
GAUGAACGCUGGCGGCGUGCCUAAUACAUGCAAGUCGAGCGAACAGACGCGGAGCUUGCUCCUCUGACGUGAGCGGCGGACGGGUGUGUAACACGUGGAAACCGUCCUUAUAAGUCGGGGAACACCACGGGAAACGGGCUCUAAUACGGUAGAAUAUCUUGAACCGCAGGGUGGAAUGGUGAAAGACGGCUUUGCUGUCUGUUAUAGAUGGUUCCGGGCUGCAUUUGCUAGUUGGUAAGUUACCGGCUUACCAAGGCAACGAUGCGUGGCCGACCUGUGGGGGUGAUCGCCCACACUGGAACUGAGCCACGGUCCAGACUCCUACGGGAGGCCGCAGUAGGGAAUCUGCCGCAGUGGGCGAAAGCCUGACGGAGCAGCGCCGCGUGAGUGAUGGAGGUCUUCGGAUCGUAAAACUCUGUUAUUGGUGAAGAACAGAUUUGUAAGUAACUGUGCACUUCUUGACGGUACCUAAUAAGAAAGCCACGGCUAACUACGUG